Molecule: ribosomal RNA, 459 nt
Filed under: uncultured bacterium
Lineage: Bacteria
Description: partial 16S ribosomal RNA
Rfam family: Bacterial small subunit ribosomal RNA
Source: RNAcentral
CCUACGGGAGGCAGCAGUGAGGAAUAUUGGUCAAUGGUCGGGAGACUGAACCAGCCAAGCCGCGUGAGGGAGGAAGGUACAGAGUAUCGUAAACCUCUUUUGUCAGGGAACAAAGGCGGGGACGUGUCCCCGGAUGAGUGUACCUGAAGAAAAAGCAUCGGCUAACUCCGUGCCAGCAGCCGCGGUAAUACGGAGGAUGCGAGCGUUAUCCGGAUUUAUGGGGUUAAAAGGGUGCGCAGGCGGUCUGUUAAGUCAGCGGUCAAAGCCCGGGGCUCAACCCCGGCCCGCCGUUGAAACUGGCAGUCUCGAGUUGGAGAGAAGUAUGCGGAAUGCGCGGUGUAGCGGUGAAAUGCAUAGAUAUCGCGCAGAACUCCGAUUGCGAAGGCAGCAUGCCGGCUCCACACUGACGCUGAGGCACGAAAGCGUGGGUAUCGAACAGGAUUAGAUACCCCUGUAGUC